This 498-nucleotide ribosomal RNA is filed under the name uncultured bacterium. Its description in RNAcentral is "partial 16S ribosomal RNA". It matches the Rfam family "Bacterial small subunit ribosomal RNA", at positions 28 to 507 of the family's 1533-position model. The record is from RNAcentral.
GGCGAACGCUGGCGGCGUGCCUAAUACAUGCAAGUCGAGCGGACGAAUCGAAAGCUUGCUUUUGAUUCGUUAGCGGCGGACGGGUGAGUAACACGUGGGCAACCUGCCCUGUAGACGGGGAUAACACCGAGAAAUCGGUGCUAAUACCGGAUAACACGAAAUGUCGCAUGACGUUUCGUUGAAAGACGGCGCAAGCUGCCGCUACAGGAUGGGCCCGCGGCGCAUUAGCUAGUUGGUGAGGUAACGGCUCACCAAGGCGACGAUACGUAGCCGACCUGAGAGGGUGAUCGGCCACACUGGGACUGAGACACGGCCCAGACUCCUACGGGAGGCAGCAGUAGGGAAUCUUCCGCAAAGGACGAAAGUCUGACGGAGCAACGCCGCGUGAGCGAAGAAGGCCUUCGGGUCGUAAAGCUCUGUUGUUAGGGAAGAACAAGUAACGCAGUAACUGGCGUUACCGUGACGGUACCUAACGAGAAAGCCACGGCUAACUACGUG